Molecule: small nuclear RNA, 139 nt
Filed under: Echinops telfairi (small Madagascar hedgehog)
Lineage: Eukaryota; Metazoa; Chordata; Mammalia; Afrosoricida; Tenrecidae
Description: U4 spliceosomal RNA (ENSETEG00000020523.1)
Rfam family: U4 spliceosomal RNA
About the family: U4 small nuclear RNA (U4 snRNA) is a component of the major U2-dependent spliceosome. The structure of U4 snRNA from yeast and human has been reported. U4 snRNA presents a k-turn RNA motif in the 5p-SL related to recognition of Snu13 protein.
Source: RNAcentral
AGCUUUGCACAGUGGCAAUAUCAGAGUCAGUGAGGCUUAUUCAAGGUGCAAUUAUUGCUAAUUGGAAGCUUUUCCCAAUACCCUGCCGUGAUGACUUGAAAUAUAGUCGGCAUUGGCAAUUUGUGACAGUCCAGAGAUA